AUUGAACGCUGGCGGCAUGCCUUACACAUGCAAGUCGAACGGCAGCACGGGAGCAAUCCUGGUGGCGAGUGGCGAACGGGUGAGUAAAGUAUCGGAACGUGCCCAGUCGUGGGGGAUAACGUAGCGAAAGUUACGCUAAUACCGCAUACGAUCUAUGGAUGAAAGCGAGGGAUCGCAAGACCUCGCGCGAUUGGAGCGGCCGAUAUCAGAUUAGGUAGUUGGGGGGGUAAAGGCGCACCAAGCCGACGAUCUGUAGCUGGUCUGAGAGGACGACCGGCAACACCGGGACUGGGACCCGGCCCAGACUCCUACGGGAGGCAGCAGUGGGGAAUUUUGGACAAUGGGCGAAAGCCUGAUCCAGCCAUGCCGCGUGCAGGAUGAAGGCCUUCGGGUUGUAAACUGCUUUUGUACGGAACGAAAAGGUUUGGCCUAAUAAGCUGAGCUCAUGACGGUACCGUAAGAAUAAGCACCGGCUAACUACGUGCCAGCCGCCGCCGUAA
This 500-nucleotide ribosomal RNA is filed under the name uncultured bacterium. RNAcentral describes it as "partial 16S ribosomal RNA". It matches the Rfam family "Bacterial small subunit ribosomal RNA", at positions 29 to 523 of the family's 1533-position model. The record is from RNAcentral.